Molecule: transfer RNA, 104 nt
Filed under: Pyricularia grisea
Lineage: Eukaryota; Fungi; Ascomycota; Sordariomycetes; Magnaporthales; Pyriculariaceae
Description: tRNA-Ala
Rfam family: tRNA
About the family: Transfer RNA (tRNA) molecules are approximately 80 nucleotides in length. Their secondary structure includes four short double-helical elements and three loops (D, anti-codon, and T loops).
Source: RNAcentral
GGGGAUGUGGUUUAGUGGUAUAAUGCUUCCUUAGCAACACCAGCUCAACAAGCUCGUGUAUGCAUUCAUGGAAGAGGUCCCGAGUUCGAUUCUUGGCGUCUCCA